RNAcentral lists this ribosomal RNA (254 nucleotides) under uncultured bacterium. RNAcentral's name for it is "partial 16S ribosomal RNA". It matches the Rfam family "Bacterial small subunit ribosomal RNA", at positions 524 to 776 of the family's 1533-position model. The record is from RNAcentral.
UACGGGGGGAGCAAGCGUUGUUCGGAUUUACUGGGCGUAAAGGGCGCGUAGGCGGCCAGCACAAGUCAGUUGUGAAAUCUCCGAGCUUAACUCGGAAAGGUCAACUGAUACUGUGCGGCUAGAGUGCGGAAGGGGCAACUGGAAUUCUUGGUGUAGCGGUGAAAUGCGUAGAUAUCAAGAGGAACACCUGCGACGAAGGCGGGUUGCUGGGCCGACACUGACGCUGAGGCGCGAAAGCCAGGGGAGCGAACGGG